RNAcentral lists this long non-coding RNA (413 nucleotides) under Homo sapiens (human). RNAcentral's name for it is "long non-coding RNA NONHSAT116853.2". Lineage: Eukaryota; Metazoa; Chordata; Mammalia; Primates; Hominidae. The record is from RNAcentral.
GAACUCACUGAGGAUGAGGUGAGGACAAGGAAGGGGGCUGGGGGUGGGGUCAGCCUCAGAAAGGGGUCCAUCUAGAUCUGACCUUGGUCUGCCUGCCAGGUGGAACGUGUGAUCACCAUUAUGCAGAAUCCACGCCAGUACAAGAUCCCAGACUGGUUCUUGAACAGACAGAAGGAUGUAAAGGAUGGAAAAUACAGCCAGGUCCUAGCCAAUGGUCUGGACAACAAGCUCCGUGAAGACCUGGAGCGACUGAAGAAGAUUCGGGCCCAUAGAGGGCUGCGUCACUUCUGGGGCCUUCGUGUCCGAGGCCAGCACACCAAGACCACUGGCCGCCGUGGCCGCACCGUGGGUGUGUCCAAGAAGAAAUAAGUCUGUAGGCCUUGUCUGUUAAUAAAUAGUUUAUAUACCUAUGG